CCUACGGGUGGCCGCAGUAGGGAAUCUUCCACAAUGGGCGCAAGCCUGAUGGAGCAACACCGCGUGAGUGAAGAAGGUUUUCGGCUCGUAAAGCUCUGUUGUUGGAGAAGAACGUUCGUGCGAGUAACUGUUCACGCAGUGACGGUAUCCCACCAGAAAUUCACGGCUAACUACGUGCCAGCAGCCGCGGUAAUACGUAUGUGGCACGCGUUAUCCGGAUGUAUUGGGCGUAAAGCGAGCGCAGGCGGUUGCUUAGGUGUGAUGUGAAAGACUUCGGCAUAACAGAAGAAGUGCAUCGGAAACCGGGCAACUGGAGUGCAGAAGAGGACAGUGGAACUCCAUGUGUAGCGGUGGAAUGCGUAGAUAUAUGGAAGAACACCAGUGGCGAAGGCGGCUGUCUGGGCUGCAACUGACGCUGAGGCUCGAAAGCAUGGGUAGCGAACAGGAUUAGAUACCCUAGUAGUC
RNAcentral lists this ribosomal RNA (465 nucleotides) under uncultured bacterium. RNAcentral describes it as "partial 16S ribosomal RNA". It matches the Rfam family "Bacterial small subunit ribosomal RNA", at positions 338 to 795 of the family's 1533-position model. The record is from RNAcentral.